Molecule: ribosomal RNA, 112 nt
Filed under: Oxyrrhis marina
Lineage: Eukaryota; Dinophyceae; Oxyrrhinales; Oxyrrhinaceae
Description: partial Eukaryotic small subunit ribosomal RNA
Rfam family: Eukaryotic small subunit ribosomal RNA
Source: RNAcentral
UGUUGGGGAACCAGGACUUUUACUUUGAAAAAAUUAGAGUGUUCAAAGCAGGCCUUUGCUCGAAUACAUUAGCAUGGAAUAAUAGAAUAGGACGCGCGUUCCCAUUUUGUUG